GCAAUGGCACUGAUAAAAGCAUCUUACUCUGGGCGAAUCAAACGAGGAACAAUUGAUUUUAGUCAUCCAACCAGGACCAUGGCACACACUUUACAGAGAGUGGUGCAAAGGCUAAUCGGUCUGAAGUGCCUUGAGACUGACGCAUUAGGUCUCUUCAAAAUGAGGGUGAUCAGUAUCUUCUCCACUCCUCCAGAAUACCUCUGGACAUAAAAACCACAUGUAUUGCCUCAACCACCUCUCCACCGAUGAUAGGCUAGUACCGACUGAAAAACAGAGGAAAAAAUCCAUCCGACCCCGAGGCUUUGUCAUCCUCGAGAGAUCGGAGGGACCCCACACCUCCUCAGUAGACACUGGAUGAGUCAGGCCUCAUUCUCCUCAUUAGAGAUGCUGCACAUAGGUUGGGACCCUUGAAGGGGGG
Molecule: long non-coding RNA, 418 nt
Filed under: Elaeis guineensis (African oil palm)
Lineage: Eukaryota; Viridiplantae; Streptophyta; Magnoliopsida; Arecales; Arecaceae
Description: long non-coding RNA (EGUI_LNC021567)
Source: RNAcentral